Molecule: ribosomal RNA, 250 nt
Filed under: uncultured prokaryote
Description: partial 16S ribosomal RNA
Rfam family: Bacterial small subunit ribosomal RNA
Source: RNAcentral
UACGGAAGAUGCGAGCGUUGUCCGGAUUUAUUGGGUUUAAAGGGAGCGUAGGCGGCCUAUUAAGUCAGCGGUUAAAUGUCAGCGCCCAACGUUGUCAUGCCGUUGAUACUGGUUGGCUUGAAUACACACAAGGGCGGUGGAAUUCGUUGUGUAGCGGUGAAAUGCUUAGAUAUGACGAAGAACUCCGAUUGCGAAGGCAGCCUCCUGGGGUGCGAUUGACGCUGAGGCUCGAAAGUGUGGGAAUCAAACA